CCUGACUUGUUAGCCGUUUUAAUUGUUUUAAUUCAUUGCGUCAAGCAAGAAUCAGCAUCAAAUAUAAAUAGAAGAAACAAGAGUAGCAAGAAGUCAAAUCAUCCACCACCAUUGCCUCCACGACCAAAGAAACAUUCAUAGUAUGUCUUCCCUGGAAAGACCAAGUGGAAGUAACGGAGAACAAUUAUGAUGACCUUAAGCACUCAAUAUAAAAUUGAAUAGAAAAAAAAAUACAAGAUCCCAAAUCAUGUACGUUACAAGCUAUCCCACAGUUCUAACACUAUGUUGCACACAAUAUAAAAUACAUACAAUUUGUUUCACAAUUCUAACACUAUAUUGCACACAAUAUAAAAUACAUACAAUUUAUUUCUCGAUCAAAUUCAGAAGCUCAUCAUCGGGUUAAUUAAUCUUCAGUAUGCAAAGAUGUUAGUUGUCCCAAUAUCAUGAUUGAUUCAAUAUGAAGGAGAAAUCUAAAAUAAAGACUCGGCUCGUUGCAUAGUACUAAUUAAUUAAAAUAACAUUUACACUCAGCACGCUGCAUACUACUAAUUAAUUAAAAUAACAAUUACAUGGACUUACUGUCUCAUACCUCUAAACUCUUACAGUGCAUGUUACAAUUAGGCAUGAAAUCCCACUGUACAAGCUUAUCCAGAGAAUAAUAACAAGAAAAACUAAAGUUUCACAGGAUCUCCAUGUUUCCCAAACCUAUGACACAAAUACAUUGUCUCCCUGUAAAGCACAAGAGGAAAUAAAACUAGCAACUAAAUAUAUUUAUAUAUAUAUAUACCUAGAAAAUAUCUGAUAAACACAUCAUAUAUUUCAAACUUGUACACACACAGUUAGUAGUUGGACAAUUCCUAGUCCAAAAAUCCAUAAGGCUUUUGACUCUGCCCAAGCCCUACCCUGUCAAAAAUACCAAUCAAGAAUUUUCAGGGUAAAUGAUAAGAGAUCACCAAAUCAUGUUGUUGGUACUUGAACAAUGAAUAGAGAAUUGAUCACACCAAAAUUUCAUUCGGCCUUUUGCAAAUGAAUAAAUUUUUUAACAGUUCACUGCAAGACAAUUAAGAGAAUAGGUCCCCUGAAAUGAUAUUAUUGACCAAGAUUUUCAUUUAAUCACCUCUGAAAUUACUGAUCCUCUGAAACUCUUGUAAAGCCUGUUACCAACACCCAUAAAAACUUCCACAUUAGAAGGUUACUAAAAGCAUAGGCACGAGAAUCCAAAAAAACAGAAAAUUCAAACAAGUUUAGUCAAUCAUGUAUAAAUGCACAACAAAAUUCAAGGGUAAGAACAUAAAGCUUCGCUGGAUCUCGUGCCAAAGUGUCUACAUUCUACCUCAGUCGUUGCUUGUGUUGCUCAAAAGGAUGAAGCAUACAAACAAUAACACAAAUUCAAAAUAAAGAGAUUCACAACAUGAUUGAUUAGACGUAGCAUGAAACAUAAUGCAAACACCACCGCAGAGAAACAAAUGACAAUGAAAAAUCCUAAUAUAUGGUGAUCAAAUCUGAAAAAAUCAAAUAAAGAGGAAAUUCAAACCCAAUCUUUUUAUUUUGAUAGAUCUCUGUCACCAAAUAAAAAUUGCAUUCAAAUAGCUAGUCACAAAUGAACACAAGAGAAAAAUGUAAGGGUAACACUGUCUAAGGCUUCAACUGAUCCCCCAUGCUUCUAAAUGUCCUGACACAUCCAUUGCUCGUGUUACCUGUAAAGAGAAAAAUUUCUAGAAAACUAAAAAAAACUCGUUCUAGAGGAGGAAUUUUAGAAAAUAUUAGAUGAAUUCAAUCAGUAAACCACUGUUGAAAACCAAAUCAAAAUUUAAUACUAAUGUUGGUGAUCAGUCCUUAGAAGUAAAUAAAAGGUGGAACCUCAUAAAAGAAAUUAGGCUAUUACAAGUUCUUGUCUUUUCAAGUUGAACAUGCCGAUGGUAGCGCUCAAACAAAUCCUUUCCAAAAGCAUUGUUGUUAAAAAAUAUUCAAAAUAAAUCUGGAUAUACUUGUACAUUGUAUAAAAGAACUACCAUGAAAUACUAAAGGGUAACUCCCCAAAUUUCAGAGAAACAAAGUUGUCUCAUACUACUCUAAUUAUAGAAACUUAAUGCCUUAACAUUGGUUCAAUUCCUGAUGUGCAAACAAGGAAAUCUGAUACUGCCAGCUUACCACACAUUACUGAAAAUUGAAACCAAGUCAAAACCCACAGAAGAAGAUAGCAAGCCUAGAAUUAUCAGAUAAAACCAAGGUAGCCGUAGUCUCAUUCCUAAAAAUAAGUUUGUGACACAGAACUUUUCGAAAAUGCCCGACUUAAGAUUGGACAUCACAUGUUGUUUUGACUAAAAUUAACAAAUUCACCUCCAAAAUACAAUUCCUGUCCAGAGUCCGUUCUGACUGAAAUUGACAAAUUCACCUCUAAAACUUCAUUAUCUUUAUCGCAUACACUUCUUGUCCAAAUAGAACAAAUAUGAAAAAAAAUGAACUGAAAGGUUUAGGAUAACUAAUAAAAGAAGUCCAAUUAUCUAUCGCCAUGUCAUAAUGUUAACUUUCAAGCCCAAGUGGUUACAGAAAUAUUUCGAAAACACUCAACUCAAUAAACAAUGAAGGAAACAAAAGAAAAAAAAAAUCUAUCACUAGUUGUUCAGACAUGUUAGCCGUCCCACUAUAUAUAUAUUCCAUCACUGGUUGAGUUAUAAAUCUCAAAUAAAGACUCAAUGUGCUGCAAACAAAUAAAAAUAAAUGCAAAUUUCAAAACUAGACGAACGAGAAACCCAAAUGGAGAUUAAAGUGAAACAUUUAAAAUAAUUUCAAGAACAAAUUUCAAAAAUUUCCACCAAAGAGACACUGUUGUAACUCAUAAUAGGCUCAGACAUUGCUGUCACUCAUAAUAGGCUCUCAGACAUUGUUGUUUCAGGAUCAGAUUUCAAAAAUUUCCACCAAAGAGACAUUGUUGUCACUCAUAAUAGGCUCAGACAUUGUUGUCACCCAUCAUAGGCUCUCAAACAUUGUUGUUUUAGGAUCAGAUUUCAAAAAUUUCCACCAAAGACAUUGUUGUCACUAAUAAUAGGUUCUUGGACAUUGUUGUCACCCAUAAUAGGCUCUUAGACAUUCCUGUCAGCCAUAAUAGACUCUCAAACAUUGGUGUCAUCCAUAAUAGGCUCUCAGACAUUGUUGUCACUCAUAAUAGGCUUGCAGGAGAUUACAUGCAGCAAUUCCCAUCAAGUUCACAACUCAGCCCAUAUGUUUGGUAUGAAUCGAAAGGUUUCGGAAAACUAUACAAGAGCCAAAGACCUAUUAGAAGAUUAUCCAGAAAAGCAUCAAAAUUGAGUAGUAGAACUUUUCAAACCAAGGAGUAAACCAUAAAAUCAAAAGAGUAAAAGCCAACCGCAGUUCUCCAAUGCUCAUCCCACAAGAUGCCUCUUAUGAACCAUAAACCAUCAAAAUACAACCAAGAUUAUAAUCAAACCAACAAUGUACAGGCGAAAGAAACAUUUAGCUUCACAAAUAAAAUAAUUGAAUUUCCACAAUUUAAUCCUUGGAGAUCAAAUAGAGAAAAUAAUUCAAACAUCGAACACCAGUCAAUCCAACAACAGAGAGGAAACUAAUCGAGAAAUUAGGAUAUACUGAUGCAGCCGUUUUAAACCCUUUUUAGGGAUUAGUGUUUCAAAUAUCAGAAACUCGAAUUGCUGAAGGGGAAUGAACACCAACACCAAGUUAAGCUAUCACAAAUAAACGCAAAAGAAAGCACAAGAGUAACAGAACAUAAUACUUCACAUCAUGUCCUACACCACGCAUCCAUUGUGUCUUCCAUGUACAACCCAAAAAUUCAAGAAACGAAUUACUGUACAGUCAAAAAUUCAAGGAAACGAACUAAGCUCUUAAUAAAAAGAAGUAUAGAAAAGAUGAGGAUGCAGAUAAAGACUAAAAAGACUUGGACGUUACACAACUAAUCCGAACACCACUGCAGAUAAACAAAUCAUAAUUCAAUCUUAUUAUCGAUGAUCAAAUACCAGAUAAAUUAAAUAACAAAAAGAAGACUAAAAGAAUACUUGAUCAAUUGGCCUUCUGAACUAUUAUGCUUUCCGUUUCAUCCACUGAAAAAACAGGAAUUUGAUCAAAAGGUUCAAAACUCGCCAUCAUCACAUAAAGAAUCAUAUUCGGAGUAAACGAUCUUCAAUCCCAUAGAAGCGUAAAUGAAUCUACUAAUAAUUCUUACGUUCUUCAAUACCAUAAACGCACAUUGAUCACCAAUUAGUAAUUCUUAAUAACUCUUGCGUUCUUCAAUCCGAAAACACAAACAUCAUAUAAUUAGACAAAGCAGAGAAUCAAGAAGUGUGAACUAAUAAGAAGCACAACAAUCCCCCGAAGCAAUAGUAAAAAAAUUCAAUCACCGAAGCAAUACCAUCAAUAACAACAAAACUCAAUAGUCAAGAAAGAUCUUAGGUAUAUAUAGAAA
Molecule: long non-coding RNA, 4438 nt
Filed under: Phaseolus vulgaris (common bean)
Lineage: Eukaryota; Viridiplantae; Streptophyta; Magnoliopsida; Fabales; Fabaceae
Description: long non-coding RNA (PVUL_LNC001315)
Source: RNAcentral